Molecule: ribosomal RNA, 288 nt
Filed under: uncultured bacterium
Lineage: Bacteria
Description: partial 16S ribosomal RNA
Rfam family: Bacterial small subunit ribosomal RNA
Source: RNAcentral
AUAGUCCUACGGGACGCAGCAGUGGGGAAUAUUGCACAGUGGGGGAAACCCUGAUGCAGCGACGCCGCGUGAAGGAAGAAGUAUUUCGGUAUGUAAACUUCUAUCAGCAGGGAAGAAAAUGACGGUACCUGACUAAGAAGCCCCGUCUAACUACGUGCCAGCAGCCGCGGUAAUACGUAGGUGGCAAGCGUUGUCCGGAUUUACUGGGUGUAAAGGGCGUUUAGCCGGGCUGACAAGUCAGAUGUGAAAUCCGGGGGCUCAACCCCCGAACUGCAUUUGAAACUGUUG